RNAcentral lists this long non-coding RNA (871 nucleotides) under Gouania willdenowi (blunt-snouted clingfish). Its description in RNAcentral is "lncRNA (ENSGWIG00000009650.1)". Lineage: Eukaryota; Metazoa; Chordata; Actinopteri; Blenniiformes; Gobiesocidae. The record is from RNAcentral.
AAAAAAAAAAAAAAAAAAAAAAAACAAGAAGAAGAAGCAGAAGAACACGUCAUCUGACAAAGACCAAUAGCGUGGCUCGUUGCUGAGACGUGUACAGACCGCUCUUUUUACCUGGACACCUGAUGACCUCGCCUACGGACACAGUUUUGAAUUCGUACCAGCGCCAUUUUAGCUGCUCGGACCACAGCAUCUUUGGACUUUUUAGACAUCCUGUCAGCUUUAAAUUAACUCGUGAGCAUCAGAGGAGAGUGACAGGUGAAACUGUGUCAAGACAACGGCGGGAAAAACAUGAUGAAGAUGGAAUAAAACCUUAGCUGGAAAUAUUUGAAGGGAUCUAGCCAGUCCACAAUGAAAGCUUCAUUGCCAACGUUGCUGUGAGUCUUCUGGCAGAAAUGAUGACGCCUGUAUGAAUUCUUUGGUUUCCCUAAACAUCACACCCUCUGUACGAGGCUCUCACCAUCUUCAAUUAUGUCUGCACCUAAAGAUUCAAUAAGAGAAUGGAUCCUGCCAGUCCAAAGUGAACUCCUGAUGGACAUCUCAGUACUCCAGCAGACUAGUGGUGUCCCAACUACGGCACGUGGGCCAACUGCGGCCCACUAUUCAUUUUUAAUUGGCCCGUGGCAAGUUCCAAGAAUAUACUGGACUAUGGCCCAAGCAUGAAACUUGGCUGCACUGCCAGUGAGCCGCCCAGCUGUAUUUUGACAGUCGAUGGGCAAAAAAUAGUCUACGGCGUGCUCAUUUUUAAUGUAUUUUUUACCAUGGUGUGUAUUGAGUAUGCAAAAUAUGAAAGAUGAUUUAAAAAAAAAAAAAUGUUUUUGUUUGAUAUGUAUUCAAGACAUUUUGACAAGAAAUACUGCAUAUUGUUAACUGC